CAAUGUUAGAGUUUACAAUACUUCUUUUUGUGAUAGUGUAGAAACAGUGGGGCAAGAACUUAGGCAUAAUGUGUCCUAUAUUCCUCCCUAGCAGGUGACAUUUUUAUUUGUAGAAAGAAGUUAAGGAAUAGCAAUAUUGAGUUCCAGUGGGAGCCUUUCUGCAAGGCAGAGGAGGGCCUAAAGCUAAUCUCAGUGGACUUUGUGAAGGAUACUAGCCCUCCGACUUUUGAUUUGUCUUUCUGUUUUAGAGAAAUGAAUGAGUUAUGAAUCUUACUCCCCAAGUAGCUGCACAGAGUUCAAACCUAGACUUUUGUGCAGCAGGAAGGCAAGCACCGGACCUAUGUCCAACCAAUCACAAGCUCCCAGGGAGCCAUCCCUUUGGAAGAGAGGGAGCGUGGGAACAAACAGGCCUGAUGUCUGUCUUUUAUUUUUACUAUAAUGGAGUCUGGUGUUCUGUGGAAGCAGCAGCAGAAGUGGCAUAGAGCUGAUGGAAGGAGGGGUGGCAGGCCCUGCUAUAGAGAUUUAAGGCAGACCUUGCCAUUGACUGCUUGGCAGUGGUGAGGAUUUUCUUAUCCUGGUCUUGGACACUGCUACUGGAAGCCUAACGUUGAUCUAUGAAUCACCUAAAAUCUGUGAGCUAUCUAUACCUCUUGAUUAAAAUAGCCAGAGGUUUCUGUUUCUUGGGAACAUGCUGCCCUGGGCCUAAUCUCUGACACUCCAGUGGUAGGAAGUACCAUGCUGAUGGGGUAUUCUCAGGAAUACUUGAAAAGUUCCAGGAUUUGUGAAUAUUUAUUUCAUUUCUAGACUGGCCCUUUAAUGCAAAAUGUCCAUUUCCUUUGGUGUACUUGUUCUACACAAGAAAAAAAAAUCCUCAGCCUCAGGUUUCUUCCUGGCUACUUCCUGUUUCUUUCCAAUGGUCAAAUCUAGUCAUCCUUGCUCUGGUGUAUGACUCAGUCUAAGAGUAUCUCUGUGUUAUCCAAGUUUAUCCAGCUUAUAAACAUAAAUUACUUCUUUUUCAAUUACAUUUUACAGACAGUAUCCCAAACUUUUAGUAUGGUUUUCUAUUUAGGCUCAGAGCCAAAGUGUUUGCAGUCAAUCUUUGUGCUUUUGAUUCUUUUUUUAGUCGUUUUUGACUUCUAUCCAUUAAAACCUCUUAUUAUACCAUUUUUUUACCAGCCAUCAUCCUCAUAAGUCUCUGACACAAAAGAAUCUUUCUGCCUGCCACAGCCAAUUCCUGUUGCAACACCGUCUUGAAAGGACUCCAUCAGCUCUACACCCUCACCAUUUCCCUUCAAAUCCCACCUGCUCCAAGUGUUUUCUUCUUGCUUAGACUUGAUACAUUUGCUUCUCAGAUAAAGGAUGGUGGUGAGCACACAGCUGGAACCAAGGAAGAAAACAGGGCCUUCGGGAUGAUAGCAUUACUUUUCUCUAAUCAAUAAUUCAUUUUUAACUAGAAUGUUUGUAGAAAUUGAGACUUGGCCUUAAGUAGUUUUUCACAAGCAAAAGAAAAUGAGAGAAGUCUAAAACAAAAUACAGUUUGGGACAUGGACCAAACAAAAUGAAAACAUCUUGCAGAGCGAUAAAGACUGUGUAAACUUAUUUAUGAUUCAAUAGAAUUGCUUUUGCAAAAAGCAAGGGCAUGGCUCAUGUUUUGUUUUGAAAUGUAUCUGUAUUACAUAAACACAGUAAUUAUGGCCUUUGACUUGUCCUUGUAUGAAUGGAAGUACCCUAAAAUCUUACAUAAUUUGAAUCCUGCAGUUUAUGGAAGGCAAAGGCAAUAAGGCACUUUAUCACAGCAAAUAAAAUGCCUCACAAAGGAGACUAUUGCCUAUUCACAUGUGGACAGGUCUCAUCUUCCUAUGGAGAAAUUUACCAGGAUCAGGAAUUUCAGGAAUGACUAACUGGCUUCUAACGUCCUGAGUGUCCAUAAAUGAGAAUAAUGCACUCUCCCCCACCCCUCAAAUUCAUCUUUUCUUCCCUGCCAGCCUACUUCCUGCUUUUUCUGCUCUCUUUCCCAUGUCCUUACUUUAUUCUUUUCAUGCUCACAGGGGCUCAUGUUUACUUGCUAAGCUUCGGCCUUUUCCACAUUCCUCCUUUGAUAGGCGAACAUCCCAGCAGCUCCCCUGGGUCAUUCCCAGGUGAGUCCACCAGACUUCCACAGCUUCACCCCGUGCCCUGUGUCAUCAUGACUAAAGCUGAUCUGAUCUCAGAAGUCUGAGAGCCCCAAGGUCUGAGGAACUUGCUUUAAGUUCCUCCUGCUCAAACCCAUCUCAGCUGGAUUCCCAGACCUCCCCUGGCCAUCUUGGCUGUGGAGGUUUA
RNAcentral lists this long non-coding RNA (2319 nucleotides) under Homo sapiens (human). RNAcentral describes it as "non-protein coding lnc-PTEN-8:1". The record is from RNAcentral. Lineage: Eukaryota; Metazoa; Chordata; Mammalia; Primates; Hominidae.